This 450-nucleotide ribosomal RNA is filed under the name uncultured bacterium. Its description in RNAcentral is "partial 16S ribosomal RNA". It matches the Rfam family "Bacterial small subunit ribosomal RNA", at positions 354 to 796 of the family's 1533-position model. The record is from RNAcentral.
GUGGGGAAUAUUGGACAAUGGGCGAAAGCCUGAUCCAGCCAUGCCGCGUGUGUGAAGAAGGUCUUCGGAUUGUAAAGCACUUUAAGUUGGGAGGAAGGGUAGUAACCUAAUACGUUGCUACUUUGACGUUACCGACAGAAUAAGCACCGGCUAACUUCGUGCCAGCAGCCGCGGUAAUACGAAGGGUGCAAGCGUUAAUCGGAAUUACUGGGCGUAAAGCGCGCGUAGGUGGUUUUGUAAGUUGGAGGUGAAAUCCCCGGGCUCAACCUGGGAACUGCCUCCAAAACUGCAUGACUAGAGUACGGUAGAGGGUAGUGGAAUUUCCUGUGUAGCGGUGAAAUGCGUAGAUAUAGGAAGGAACACCAGUGGCGAAGGCGACCACCUGGACUGAUACUGACACUGAGGUGCGAAAGCGUGGGGAGCAAACAGGAUUAGAUACCCGAGUAGUCC